AGCCUUAAGAUUUUAUUUAAGGUGACGCCUGCCCAGUGCUUGUUGUAAAUGGCCGCAGUACCUUGACUGUGCUAAGGUAGCAAAAUCAUUUGGCUUUUAAUUGGAGUUGGGUAUGAAUGGAUUAAUGGGAUAGGAUUGUCUCUUUUAUGUUUUAUUGAAUUUCUUUAAUAGGUGAAAAUACCUAUAAUGUAGAAAAAAGACGAGAAGACCCUAGGAGUUUUUACUAGCAGCUAAAUAAUUAGCUGCCGUUUUUGUUGGGGCAACAUAGAAAUAUUUUUAACUUUCUUUAUUUAUUUGCCGACUUAGUAUAAGUGAGUAAACUACCCUAGGGAUAACAGCGUAAUUCUUUUAGAGCUUGCGACCUCGAUGUUGGACUAGGAAUUUGGUUGGCUAGCCGCCAAUUUAUAUGGUUCU
Molecule: ribosomal RNA, 414 nt
Filed under: Elysia flava
Lineage: Eukaryota; Metazoa; Mollusca; Gastropoda; Plakobranchidae
Description: partial 16S ribosomal RNA
Rfam family: Bacterial large subunit ribosomal RNA
Source: RNAcentral